Arachis stenosperma is the source of this 1280-nucleotide long non-coding RNA. RefSeq lists it as uncharacterized. NCBI's taxonomy places the organism in Eukaryota, Viridiplantae, Streptophyta, Magnoliopsida, Fabales, Fabaceae. The record is from RefSeq and is a predicted model, not a curated record. The transcript has 6 exons.
ACAUCAUUUCAUGUCUCUAAUGCCCGAACAACAUGUGAAAAACACGGCAGUCAAUGCACAUUGCAUGAUUCUCAACGACAUAAAAUGUCCUUGGUUUCAGAAAGAUAUAUACUGUGUGCCGACAGAUAUUGUGAUAAGCCAGAUUUUUUAUUCCCUGCUGAUUGAAUGUUUAUUACGUUUUAUCCAAAACAUGAAUGGAGUUCUGUUCAGUGGAGUUGGUCAAGUUGAUUCAUUUGAUUGUCAAGUGUUCAAUGUUUAUAUUGGGAACCCAUGGCGAGAAAUACAUUGAUCCAAAGACCAACAAGGUCUACCGGAUGGAUGUCGAUCGAUAUGCACACUAUCGCUAAUUUCUUGACAAAAGAAAACUCGCAUCGCAUCCAUUUCUGUUUGUGCCGAUUUGCAAUGGACGACACUGGUGGUUGUGGAUUGUCGAUGUCCGGAAAAAGGCAUUCCAUGUGCUUGACCCUGUGAACAAGAACAAAGAUGAAAUACCUGAUUUGAGAAUUAAAUUGAACAAAUUUGUUGUAAAUUAUUAAAUAUUUUCCUUGCUUAUUGAAUGUUUAUCACGUUUUAUUCAAAUCAUGAUUGGUGUUCGGUUCAGUGGAGUUGCUGAUUUUGAUUCACCUGAUUGCUAUGUGUUCACUUGGGUUCUUUUGCAUGCACAAAAUGUUUCUCUUGCUGAUUGAAUGUUCAUCACGUUUUAUUCAGAACAUGAACAAGGUUCGGUUCAUUGUAGCUGCUAAUUUUCAUUCACUUUUUGUAUCCCUUUCAAGGAUUAAUAAUCUCCCAGAUGAGGGUUUACGCUGGGGCGAAACCUUUAAUGGAGGAUGGAGAGGGAGAAGAAGCAGAGUAUAUUAGAUUGAAUGGUCAAUGUACAAGCUAUGAUUGUGCAAUAUACGUCAUGAAAUAGCUUGAAACAAUUGAUCCUCGAAAGAUCAAAAGAGGGAAAAAGUAUCAAUAUAAAGCUUGGACACAAGCUUGAAUAUGGUCCAAAUAUUCUGUUGCACAAACUGAACAAAAUCAGAGACCAAGUGAUAAGGGGAUCUGAAGCAAUAAGACUCCCGAAGUCAUCUGCUACUCUCUCCAACCCUUAAUGUAAAUUCACGUCUGGGGAUAUAUAUAGUAAAUAGGAUAUACUUUGUUUCACUGGUUGUAAUUAAUAUUAUUUUGUUUAACUUGUUUAAAAAAGCAAACACUGCUUCUUUUAAUGUAUAUAUGUGAAUAUUAAUGUAAAUGUUAAUGUAUAUAUCUAAUGUAUAUAUCUGAUUCAAGAUGGAUUA